RNAcentral lists this ribosomal RNA (552 nucleotides) under Triticum aestivum (bread wheat). RNAcentral's name for it is "partial small subunit ribosomal RNA". The record is from RNAcentral. Lineage: Eukaryota; Viridiplantae; Streptophyta; Magnoliopsida; Poales; Poaceae.
AUGGCUAGAGCAUGGAAGGAUAACUAUUAUGGUAUAUCACAAUUAUCAAGGUACAUCUUUGUGGCUCAUUUUCGUUCUUUGGAUGCUGUUAUGUUUGUCAUUACUCGUCAGCCUUGGAGCAUGGGUUCAGACAAUUUCUUGCUUGAAUGGAUGGAUCCAGAGGAGCAAAAUAGGAAUAUUCAGGACUAUAAGUUUGACACUAUCUACGUGACUAUUCGGAUUUAUGACAUCUUGCAAAGUGUUGGCCAGAUCUCAGAAUUUCAUCCUAUAAAUCAGAGUAUGAUAUUUGCUAGGGAGAAUUACAUUUGGGAUACCAUUAAAGCUCAGGUUAGUAAAGCAGUCAGAGAUAGAGUUUGGGUUUCUUUUGCCAAGGAUUCUGCUGGUUGGGCUUACUUAUUCUAUGAGAAAAUUGGCAGGAUCUGCACUUUUUGUGGAGUUAUGUUUCAUAGUGUUCAGCAUUGCAAGAUCAGAAAUAGUGUUCUCAUUUCAAGAAACAGGCUGCAAGUUUCUUUGGAAGAAAUCUCACCAAAUAGAUUUGGGCAGUGGAUGACU